This 429-nucleotide ribosomal RNA is filed under the name Gemmatimonadota bacterium. Its description in RNAcentral is "Gemmatimonadetes bacterium partial 16S ribosomal RNA". It matches the Rfam family "Bacterial small subunit ribosomal RNA", at positions 355 to 776 of the family's 1533-position model. The record is from RNAcentral. Lineage: Bacteria; Pseudomonadati; Gemmatimonadota.
UAGGGAAUCUUCGGCAAUGGACGAAAGUCUGACCGAGCAACGCCGCGUGAGUGAAGAAGGUUUUCGGAUCGUAAAACUCUGUUGUUAGAGAAGAACAAGGACGUUAGUAACUGAACGUCCCCUGACGGUAUCUAACCAGAAAGCCACGGCUAACUACGUGCCAGCAGCCGCGGUAAUACGUAGGUGGCAAGCGUUGUCCGGAUUUAUUGGGCGUAAAGCGUGCGCAGGCGGUUUCUUAAGUCUGAUGUGAAAGCCCCCGGCUCAACCGGGGAGGGUCAUUGGAAACUGGGAGACUUGAGUGCAGAAGAGGGGAGUGGAAUUCCAUGUGUAGCGGUGAAAUGCGUAGAUAUAUGGAGGAACACCAGUGGCGAAGGCGGCUCUCUGGUCUGUAACUGACGCUGAGGCUCGAAAGCGUGGGGAGCAAACAGG